GAUGAAGAACGUAGCGAAAUGCGAUACUUGGUGUGAAUUGCAGAAUCCCGUGAACCAUCGAGUCUUUGAACGCAAGUUGCGCCCGAAGCCGUCAGGCCGAGGGCACGCCUGCCUGGGCGUCACACGCCGUUGCCCCCCCGCGCCCCGCACCCAACUCUUUGGGAGCGACCGCGGGGCGGGCUGAUGAUGGCCUCCCGUGCGCUCCGCCGCGCGGUUGGCCCAAAUACCGAGUCCCCGGCGACGUGCGCCACGACGAUCGGUGGUUGAGAGACCUCUGUCGCAAGUCGUGCGCGCCCGUCGCGUCACGCGGGCUCGCAUAGCGCCGCGCGCCGCACCCGGUGCGGAGCUUUCAACGCGACCCCAGGUCAGGCGGGGUUACCCGCUGAAUUUAAGCAUAUCAAUAAGCGGAGGA
RNAcentral lists this unclassified non-coding RNA (412 nucleotides) under soil metagenome. RNAcentral's name for it is "partial contains 5.8S ribosomal RNA, internal transcribed spacer 2, and large subunit ribosomal RNA". The stretch from base 1 to 122 matches the Rfam family "5.8S ribosomal RNA", at positions 35 to 154 of the family's 154-position model. The record is from RNAcentral.